AUGGCGGGGCUCGCCGGAGCGGGCUGGGGCGAGGGCGUGCUGGUGCUCGGCCUUGUCGGAGCGCACAAGGGCGUGGGCGAGCUAGGGCCCAUGGGGACGAGCAUCAGUAGGAGCUACCGAAUCUUUUCGUCAAAAGAAACUCUUCUUUGUGGAGGCUUUUGCCAUGGUGGCUCUGAAAUUGCAACUGCAUUAGCAAACCGGAGCUCAAACGUCGGUCAGGCUCUAUUUUCACUAUGGAUGGCUCUUGGAAGUGUCAUCGGCUACAUGCUGAGAACCUCGGGUUGCUGCGACUCGUGCGCUGAUGUGAAGGGUCCUUCUCGGAGUCAGCGUAGCGAUUACAGUGCUCCUCGCGAAGGAGCAGCCAAUCGAUGCCACCUCCAUCGCUCCACGUUCCGGCGGCUGUCUUGCUUAGUGAACGGAACCAGCACCAGGGCUGGCCAUGAUCUUGGCGGCGUGGAGAUGUGCAGCGCUACGGAUGAAAAUCAUGUUCGGCUUUGGUCGGGCCGGCAUCGAUGCAUUGUGCUGGGAGACGAGAGGCCCUUUGUUGCGCUCCUUCGGUGUUUGCGACUGCCCAGAUCGCCCUUCCCCGGCGCUAUGUACGGUCGUCGCUGGUUUAUCCAAGGAAGAUGUAGUUGCUGUUCUUCGGAGAUGACCGGUGUUGGUCGCACGCGGCGAGUCCCUUACCUCCCCGAGCUAGUGGCGACUGGCGACCGUGUGUACCAGGAGGUGGCUGCAGUGGCCGCCAAGCUCCGGCGGCACGAGAUCCCCGUCCGGCGGCGACAGCCGCUCGCCGUGCGUCGGCGACGUCGGCUCCCAUGCAGCGACGUUGCAAGCUCCGCGCGUGACUGUCCACCUAGCUGCGGCGACGAACGACUAGAGGUUGAGUGCCUAGGCCCUUCCCCUCUCCAAGCGCGCAUUCCCUCGAUCUGCUCGCCUCCGGUAAAGCGGCCGCCGUUCACCCUCUCUAUCAACGUGCCCUGCUUGAGUUGCUUCCGGCGGUCCGACUCCAUCGCCAGCAGGCCAUCUAGGGUUCGCCGUCUGGUAGGUUCCCUCCACCGGCCGGCCGCCAGGCCCUCCGUCUCUCCGGCAGACGGCACCAAGAAGGCAAGAGCCGCCACCGCACGCACGCAGCCUGUCACAGGAGGCUGCAGAGGCGAGCAGAGACUGAUACUUCUGGGUUGCUGCAUCGGUGUGGGCCGCGACGGCGUGGUGGCAGUCCACGGUGGUGGUGCGGGGCGGUUCGUUGCGACGGUGGGACAUGCUCCGGCGUCUGGCCAUUGGCGAGCUGCUCGUGUGGAUGCCCCUUGGUCCUCUAGCGGCAACAGGAUGUGGUCUUUCCGGCGCCUCGCGUCGUUGGGCGAGUGUCCAGUUCCUACCAGAUGCAGAUCCAGGCCGGGAGCUGUGGUUGGGCGUUGCAGGGUGCGACUUUGGAGAGGUGACGGGUGGUGCCGAUGCAGUCGGGCUGCCUGUUACCGGCAGGGGUGCGGACAUCGACUUGGUCCGCUCCCGCUUCACCUCUUCUCCGACCUGCUGGCUCCCCGAUCGAUCUGGUUGUUUUGGUCGCUGCGGCCUUGUUGCCGGUCGGUGCAUCUCAUGCAGCGAUGGAGGAUCUAUGGUGUGUCUUGUUACCUGGGCGGCGGCCCGGGUGGUAGGUGCUGCGGUGCUCGUGGGCUGACCUUGUGGCUCAGGUGCGGGCGGCCGAUGGAGGCGGCGCCAGUGGACGUCGUCAUCUUCCUGAAGUCUUCGUUGUGGUUACUCCUUUCCCUUUGUCAUGCUCCGGAUGAAAAUCUAGAUCUUUGGAUCGGCCGGUGGCGGCGUUUUGUUCUGUCCUUCUUGAAGGCACUGUCUUGGAGCUCUCAGUUCAUCGUCAUUCAACUUCACCUCUUCGCGGGUUCUCCCGGAAGAGCUCCGGUGGCUCUUUAG
This 1923-nucleotide ribosomal RNA is filed under the name Triticum aestivum (bread wheat). Its description in RNAcentral is "partial small subunit ribosomal RNA". The record is from RNAcentral. Lineage: Eukaryota; Viridiplantae; Streptophyta; Magnoliopsida; Poales; Poaceae.